RNAcentral lists this unclassified non-coding RNA (860 nucleotides) under Aspergillus montevidensis. RNAcentral's name for it is "sequence contains 28S rRNA gene". It matches the Rfam family "Eukaryotic large subunit ribosomal RNA", at positions 50 to 923 of the family's 3401-position model. Lineage: Eukaryota; Fungi; Ascomycota; Eurotiomycetes; Eurotiales; Aspergillaceae. The record is from RNAcentral.
GCGGAGGAAAAGAAACCAACCGGGAUUGCCUCAGUAACGGCGAGUGAAGCGGCAAGAGCUCAAAUUUGAAAUCUGGCCCCUCCGGGGUCCGAGUUGUAAUUUGUAGAGGAUGCUUCGGGUGCGGCCCCCGUCUAAGUGCUCUGGAACGGGCCAUCGGAGAGGGUGAGAAUCCCGUCUGGGACGGGGUGUCCGCGUCCAUGUGAAGCUCCUUCGACGAGUCGAGUUGUUUGGGAAUGCAGCUCUAAAUGGGUGGUAAAUUUCAUCUAAAGCUAAAUACUGGCCGGAGACCGAUAGCGCACAAGUAGAGUGAUCGAAAGAUGAAAAGCACUUUGAAAAGAGAGUUAAACAGCACGUGAAAUUGUUGAAAGGGAAGCGCUUGCGACCAGACUCGCUUCCGGGGUUCAGCCGGCUUUCGGGCCGGUGUACUUCCCCGGGGGCGGGCCAGCGUCGGUUUGGGCGGCCGGUCAAAGGCCCCUGGAAUGUAACGCCUCUCGGGGCGCCUUAUAGCCAGGGGUGUCAUGCGGCCAGCCUGGACCGAGGAACGCGCUUCGGCACGGACGCUGGCAUAAUGGUCGUAAACGACCCGUCUUGAAACACGGACCAAGGAGUCUAACAUCUACGCGAGUGUUCGGGUGUCAAACCCGUGCGCGCAGUGAAAGCGAACGGAGGUGGGAGCCCCCUCGCGGGGCGCACCAUCGACCGAUCCUGAUGUCUUCGGAUGGAUUUGAGUAAGAGCGUAGCUGUGGGGACCCGAAAGAUGGUGAACUAUGCCUGAAUAGGGCGAAGCCAGAGGAAACUCUGGUGGAGGCUCGCAGCGGUUUCUGAACGUGCAAAUCGAUCGUCAAAUUUGGGUAUAGGGC